This 438-nucleotide long non-coding RNA is filed under the name Cricetulus griseus (Chinese hamster). Its description in RNAcentral is "lncRNA (ENSCGRG00015037932.1)". Lineage: Eukaryota; Metazoa; Chordata; Mammalia; Rodentia; Cricetidae. The record is from RNAcentral.
UUGUCUGUGGGAUCAAGAUGUAGCUCUUUCUCCACUCUCAGCUCCUUUUCUAACACCAUGUCUGCCUGCAUGCUGCUAUGUUCCACCAUAAUGAUAAUGGACUAAACCUCUGAAACUAUACAACAUGGCCGCUCUCUUCAAACUCCUGCCAAACCUUCCUGCCACAUGGACUAUACUCUUAAACUGUGAGCCAAAAUAAACCAUUCCUUCCUUAAGUUGUGUUUGACACAGAAAAAGUAGUGAAUACCCAGACAAAGGUCCCUGGUGCUAUAACCUUCAGUAUGGUGGCACAAGCCUUUAAUCCCAGCACUUGGGAGGCAGAGGUGACAGAUCUUUGUGAGUUCGAGGCCAGCCUGGUCUACAAAGCAAGUCCCAGGACACUGAGGACUAUUACACAGAGAAACCUUGUCUUGAAAAAAUAAAAAAAAUAUUAAUUUA